AAACGGGUGGUAAUGCCGGAUGCUCCGACUCCUCGCAUGGGGUGUCGGGAAAGAUUUCAUCGGUAUGGGAUGGGGUCGCGUCCUAUCAGGUAGUCGGCGGGGUAACGGCCCACCGAGCCUACGACGGGUAGCCGGCCUGAGAGGGCGACCGGCCACAUUGGGACUGAGAUACGGCCCAGACUCCUACGGGAGGCAGCAGUGGGGAAUAUUGCACAAUGGGCGCAAGCCUGAUGCAGCGACGCCGCGUGCGGGAUGACGGCCUUCGGGUUGUAAACCGCUUUUGAUCGGGAGCAAGCCUUCGGGUGAGUGUACCUUUCGAAUAAGCACCGGCUAACUACGUGCCAGCAGCCGCGGUAAUACGUAGGGUGCAAGCGUUAUCCGGAAUUAUUGGGCGUAAAGGGCUCGUAGGCGGUUCGUCGCGUCCGGUGUGAAAGUCCAUCGCUUAACGGUGGAUCUGCGCCGGGUACGGGCGGGCUGGAGUGCGGUAGGGGAGACUGGAAUUCCCGGUGUAACGGUGGAAUGUGUAGAUAUCGGGAA
RNAcentral lists this ribosomal RNA (537 nucleotides) under Bifidobacterium pseudocatenulatum. RNAcentral's name for it is "bacterial SSU rRNA". It matches the Rfam family "Bacterial small subunit ribosomal RNA", at positions 154 to 703 of the family's 1533-position model. The record is from RNAcentral. Lineage: Bacteria; Bacillati; Actinomycetota; Actinomycetes; Bifidobacteriales; Bifidobacteriaceae.